GAUGAACGCUGGCGGCGUGCCUAAUACAUGCAAGUCGAGCGAACGGACGAGAACCUUGCUUCUCUGAUGUUAGCGGCGGACGGGUGAGUAACACAUGGAUAACCUACCUCUAAGACUGGUAUAACUACGCGAAACCGGAGCUAAUACCGGAUAAUAUUUUGAACCGCAUGGUUCAAAAGUGAAAGACGGUCUUGCUGUCACUUAUAGAUGGAUCCGCGCUGCAUUAGCUAGUUGGUAAGGUAACGGCUUACCAAGGCAACGAUGCAUAGCCGACCUGAGAGCGUCAUCGGCCACACUGGAACUGAGACACGGCCCAGACGCCUGCAGGAAGAAACGGUCGAGAAUCUUCCGCGAUGGAGGAAUGCCGAACGGAGGAACACCGCCUGAGUGAUGAAGGUCUACUGACCGGAGAGCGAUGUUGUUCGUAAGGAACAAAUGUUUAAGUAACUGUGAAGAUAUUGACGGUACCGGAAGAGAAAGCCACGGCUAACUCCGUG
This 497-nucleotide ribosomal RNA is filed under the name uncultured bacterium. RNAcentral describes it as "partial 16S ribosomal RNA". It matches the Rfam family "Bacterial small subunit ribosomal RNA", at positions 28 to 507 of the family's 1533-position model. The record is from RNAcentral.